CGGAAUAGCCUCUGGAAACGGAGAGUAAUACCGUAUGCGCCCUUCGGGGAAAGAUUUAUCGGUGAAGGAUUAGCCCGCGUCUGAUUAGAUAGUUGGUGGGGUAACGGCCUACCAAGUCGACGAUCAGUAGCUGGUUUGAGAGGAUGAUCAGCAACACUGGGACUGAGACACGGCCCAGACUCCUACGGGAGGCAGCAGUGGGGAAUCUUAGACAAUGGGCGCAAGUGAUCUAGCCAUGCCGCGUGAGUGACGAAGGCCUUAGGGUCGUAAAGCUCUUUCGCCAGGGAUGAUAAUGACAGUACCUGGUAAAGAAACCCCGGCUAACUCCGUGCCAGCAGCCGCGGUAAUACGGAGGGGGUUAGCGUUGUUCGGAAUUACCGGGCGUAAAGCGCGCGUAGGGGAUUGGAAAGUUGGGGGUGAAAUCCCGGGGCUCAACCCCGAACUGCCUCCAAAACUAUCAGUCUAGAGUUCGAGAGAGGUGAGUGGAAUUCCAAGUGUAGAGGUGAAAUUCGUAGAUAUUUGGAGGAACACCAGUGGCGAAGGGGCUCACUGGCUCGAUACUGACGCUGAGGUGCGAAAGUGUGGGGAGCAAACAGGAUUAGAUACCCUGGUAGUCCACACCGUAAACGAUGAAUGCCAGACGUCGGGGGGCUUGCCAUUCGGGUGUCACACCUAACGGAUUAAGCAUUCCGCCUGGGGAGUACGG
RNAcentral lists this ribosomal RNA (706 nucleotides) under uncultured bacterium. Its description in RNAcentral is "bacterial SSU rRNA". It matches the Rfam family "Bacterial small subunit ribosomal RNA", at positions 139 to 885 of the family's 1533-position model. The record is from RNAcentral.